AAACUUAUUGUCUUGCAGUUCUGGGGCUAGAAGUCUGAGAUCAAGGUGUCAGCAGGGUUGGUUCCUUCUGACGCUGGGAGGAAGAAUCUGGUCCAGGCGUCUCUCCCAGCUUCUGGUGGUCUGCCGGCGAGCUUUGGCGUUCCUGGGCUUGUACAAGCAUCACCCCGUCUCUGCCUCCAUCUUCACAUGUUCUUCUCCUUCUGUGCAUCUGUGUCUUCACAUGGCCAUCUUACAAGAACCCCAGUCAUCCUGAAUUAGAGACCCACCUACUCCAGUGUGACCUCAUCCCAGCUAAAUACAUCUGCAAUGACUUCGCCUCCAAAUAAGGUCGCAUUCUGAGUGGCACUGUGACAAUGCCUGGCGCCUGCUCACGCAGGGAGUGAGUGCUCCGGGGAGCUUGGCUGGUGUGGACACUAUCUGGAGGAGCAUGUUCAGAGCUGUUGAAAGGCAGGUGGUUCUGAGGCACCCAGCUCCUUGGGCUCUGUCUGGGCCUAUGUCCUCAUAAAACCCAGGUGAGCCGAGAGCAAGGAGGUAGAAAGGUGAAGCAGGAGAAACGGACCUCAGCUGUGAUGAAGAGCCCAGCGGCCAGGCAAGAGCCUGCACCGGGCGUGUUUUGCAUUUGGGAAGCACCAGGACAAAAUCCCACACGUCUAUGUUGUUAAGUCUUUUCAUCAUGGAAGGCUUGGGCCACAGGUGUUGUCAUCAGGCUCUGGUUCCUUCUACCUUGAAAACGUUUUACCUGCUUGGCAGUGCCCAUGCAGAUGACUCAGCACUGAGCUGGGAGCAGAGCUUUGCCAAAGGUGCUGUGAGGCUAAUGAGCAGAAUCGAGCCAGGCCCGUGGGGGCACCUUCUCCACGGCAGGUGUACCUACAGAAUUCUGACCAUGUUGAGUUUACACAACACAACACAGUAGUUGUUAGAACAGCUCAAAGAAAAGGGAGGCCAGUGAAUGAUGGCUCAGGGAUGGAGCUGGGCCUGGAAACCAGCAGUAUCAGAGUCACCUCCCAAGCUGCUGGAAGGAACUGGCCUUUCUGGCUCACCUAACAAUUGGCUAGAGCUUUCUGCACCCCAUGGAUGAGCCCCGCUGGUUUGGGGGAUCUCUACGGUCCAGUCAGUGGUCCCAUCACGAAGCGCGCCCUCACGAUUCUUGGUGACGAGGCACUUUGCCUAUCAGGAAUGUUCCUGGCCGGUUAUCUCACCUUUGCCAU
This 1208-nucleotide long non-coding RNA is filed under the name Equus caballus (horse). RNAcentral's name for it is "lncRNA (ENSECAG00000054875.1)". Lineage: Eukaryota; Metazoa; Chordata; Mammalia; Perissodactyla; Equidae. The record is from RNAcentral.